This 252-nucleotide ribosomal RNA is filed under the name uncultured bacterium. RNAcentral describes it as "partial 16S ribosomal RNA". It matches the Rfam family "Bacterial small subunit ribosomal RNA", at positions 524 to 776 of the family's 1533-position model. The record is from RNAcentral.
GACGUAGGGCGCGAGCGUGUCCGGGUUUAUUGGGCGUAAAGAGCUCGUAGGCGGCUUGUCGCGUCGACUGUGAAAACUCGGGGCUCAACUCCGAGCUUGCAGUCGAUACGGGCAGGCUAGAGUUCGGUAGGGGAGACUGGAAUUCCUGGUGUAGCGGUGAAAUGCGCAGAUAUCGGGAAGAACACCCGUGGCGAAGGCGGUUCUCUGGGACGGUACUGACGCUGAGACGCGAAAGCGUGGGGAGCGAACAGG